RNAcentral lists this ribosomal RNA (228 nucleotides) under Triticum aestivum (bread wheat). RNAcentral describes it as "partial small subunit ribosomal RNA". The record is from RNAcentral. Lineage: Eukaryota; Viridiplantae; Streptophyta; Magnoliopsida; Poales; Poaceae.
AUGAAUAUCCUAUGUUGGAAUUGUCGUGGUGUGGGCAAAGUCGCGACAAUUCGAGAGCUUCGCGAUUUGCCGAAGCAAUUUGCCCCGACAGUGCUAUGUAUCGUAGAAACUCAGAUCUCGAAAGCACGUGUCGAAAAUCUUGCUACUACUUUAGGUUUUAAUCAUGCUUAUGCUGUUGGCAGUUCAGGCCGCAGCGGUGGAAUCGGUAUUUUUUGGAACAAUGGAAUA